GACGAACGCUGGCGGCGUGCUUAACACAUGCAAGUCGAGCGGAAAGGCCCUGCUUGUGUGGGGUGCUCGAGUGGCGAACGGGUGAGUAACACGUGAGUAACCUGCCCUUGACUUUGGGAUAAGUUCAGGAAACUGGGGCUAAUACCGUACAGGAUCUCCUGCUGCAUGGUGGGGGGUGGAAAGUUGGGGCGGGCGUGGAUGGACUGGCGGCUUAUGGGCUAGCUGGUGGGGUAGUUGCUUGCCAAGGCUUUGACGGGUAGCCGGCCGGUGAGGGUGACCGGCCACCCUGGGACUGAGGUGCGGCACAGACUCCUACGGGAGGCAGCAGUGGGGAAUAUUGCACCAUGGGCGGAAGCCUGAUGCAGCAGCGCCGCGUGCGGGAUGGCGGCCUUCGGGUUAUAAACCGCUUUCGCCUGUGACGAAGCGUGAGUGACGGUAAUGGGUAAAGAAGCACCGGCUAACUACGUG
Molecule: ribosomal RNA, 468 nt
Filed under: uncultured bacterium
Lineage: Bacteria
Description: partial 16S ribosomal RNA
Rfam family: Bacterial small subunit ribosomal RNA
Source: RNAcentral